Molecule: ribosomal RNA, 460 nt
Filed under: uncultured bacterium
Lineage: Bacteria
Description: partial 16S ribosomal RNA
Rfam family: Bacterial small subunit ribosomal RNA
Source: RNAcentral
CCUACGGGUGGCAGCAGUGAGGAAUAUUGGUCAAUGGGCGCAAGCCUGAACCAGCCAAGUCGCGUGAAGGAUGACGGCCCUACGGGUUGUAAACUUCUUUUAUAAAGGAAUAAAGCUAGACACGUGUGCCUUUUUGUAUGUACUGUAUGAAUAAGGAUCGGCUAACUCCGUGCCAGCAGCCGCGGUAAUACGGAGGAUCCGAGCGUUAUCCGGAUUUAUUGGGUUUAAAGGGAGCGUAGGUGGGUUGUUAAGUCAGUUGUGAAAGUUUGCGGCUCAACCCUAAAAUUGCAAUUGAUACUGGCAGUCUUGAGGACAGUUGAGGUAGGCGGAAUGCGUGGUGGAGCGGUGAAAUGCUUAGAUAUCACGAAGAACUCCGAUUGCGAAGGCAGCUUACUAAGCUGUAGCUGACAUUGAGGCACGAAAGCGUGGGUAUCAAACAGGAUUAGAUACCCGUGUAGUC